This 406-nucleotide ribosomal RNA is filed under the name uncultured bacterium. RNAcentral's name for it is "partial 16S ribosomal RNA". It matches the Rfam family "Bacterial small subunit ribosomal RNA", at positions 29 to 526 of the family's 1533-position model. The record is from RNAcentral.
AUUGAACGCUGGCGGCAGGCUUAACACAUGCAAGUCGAGCGAGCGGCGGCAGGGUGAGUAAUGUCUGGGAAACUGCCUGAUGGAGGGGGAUAACUACUGGAAACGGUAGCUAAUACCGCAUCCCAUCAGAUGUGCCCAGAUGGGAUUAGCUAGUAGGGUGGGUAAAGGCUCACCUAGGCGACGAGCCCUAGCUGGUCUGAGAGGAUGCCCAGCCACACUGGAACGGAGACACGGUCCAGACGCCUACGGGAGGCAGCAGUGGGGAAUAUUGCACAAUGGGCGCAAGCCUGAUGCAGCCAUGCAGCGUGUAUGAAGAAGGCCUUCGGGUUGUAAAGUACGUUCAGCGGGGAGGCGUUACCCGCAGAAGAAGCACCGGCUAACUCCGUGCCAGCAGCCGCGGUAAUUC